Molecule: long non-coding RNA, 1099 nt
Filed under: Capra hircus (goat)
Lineage: Eukaryota; Metazoa; Chordata; Mammalia; Artiodactyla; Bovidae
Description: lncRNA (ENSCHIG00010031519.1)
Source: RNAcentral
CCUGCACCCCAGCUCUACUACUCAUCCCUUCUCUGCCUCAUCUGUGCCUUCUCCCUCAAAACCAGGAGGCCCUCAGGGCUGCGGUCAUGAGCGAGAUGUGUGCAGGGUAUAAGAUGGGGCUUCCUCCUUGCCUUUGCCACCUGGAGCUACUCAACCCACUGCCUCAGUUUUCUCAUCUGUACACUGGGCUGCGGUGGGGGCCGGGUGGGCUCACUCACGGACAGCUGUGGAAUGCGGUGGACGUGGAGCUAGCCCCCACCACAUGGGCCAACCUAAAGGUCACUGACCUCUUCCCUUCCACUAAAACACGCUUGAGUCCUUUCCUCUUUUCAGAAAAGCGCCUCCCGACCUCUUUCCCCACCUUUCCGCUCUCUUUCCUCUUGAGCUUCUUUAAAGAAUACGUCACAUUCGAGGUCUCCACCGCCUCCCUGAACAUUUAACUGAAGUGAGCGUCCCACAGCCACAGAGACGGAAUCCCACCGACGCGGCUGCAUCUGAAGGAGCUGACCACUCCUUCUGGGAGGGCAGCCCUACUUUCUUUGCCCCCGUGACCCCACCAGCCCUCUUGGCCCCCCGCUAACCGAGGGUUCCUUCUCCAGCUCCCUCAGAGGGUGCGGCCCACUGCUCCGCCUUGCAACCUGUCUUGAGGCCCUACAUGCACUUUGAAAGUUUUUGCCACCAUCGGCAUCUAAAGGGUCCCUGGAGCACACCCCCACCCCGACCCUGGCCAGGCAAUGCCCUGGGACCACUGUGUGUCUGUCUUGAGACACAUCGACCUCAAGAUGUGCCCAAGACCAAGACCUGGGCGUGGCCUGCAGGAGCCCCUCCUCCUCACCAGCUACACACAGAUGGCAAAUGGCGGCUGCUGUACGAAGUGCUUCGUAAACCCCGUCGUCUGUCAUCAUCCCUCAAACACUGGCCUAGUUCAGCCCUCAUCUCAUCUGAACUGUCAUGGAUCUCGUUGCUGGCAGAGCUGGGCUCACACACCAGGAGGCUUCCCUGGCUCCCAUCUCUGACCAGGUCAAACCCCAGCUGUGGACACACACCAGGCCCACUCUGCGGUCUCCCCCGCCUUCCACCGAUGCCCAGUGUCUCGGGG